Long non-coding RNA from Papaver somniferum (opium poppy), 1006 nucleotides. RefSeq lists it as uncharacterized. NCBI's taxonomy places the organism in Eukaryota, Viridiplantae, Streptophyta, Magnoliopsida, Ranunculales, Papaveraceae. The transcript has 5 exons. The record is from RefSeq and is a predicted model, not a curated record.
UGAGAGAGAGCGAAAACUGUGAAACAAAAAAUGGAGAAUUCUGUUUCCUUGAAAACAAAUAUUGGAUUUUGAGACAUGGUAAAAGCAUCCCAAUGAGAAAGGCGUCAUCGUGACUUCUUUCGUUUGUUUUCUUCUCCGGGUUCUCCCCAAUUUUUGGUUUAUUUUAUGAACAUGUUCAUUAUUUGUUUUUCUAAUCUCUUCAUGUAAACCCUUAAUUUUUGAUGAAUUAGUUUGAUUUCAUGCUAAAAGAACUAGUAAUUUUCAUCAAUCAGGAAAAUGGGGUUCUUUUGGAAUAUCAAUUAGCUGACGAAGGUGUUAACCAAGCAAGAUUAGCAGGUAUUAAAGGAUAACAAUAUACCAAUUGAAAAUGUUAGAAUUUGCUACUCUCCAUCUUCAAGAACAAGACUGCUCAAGUUGCUGCUUUUGUUCUCAUUGUUUCGCUCAAAGGUCCUUAGUGUAACGUAUAGAACUUACAUGGGAACUAAGUAGACAAGCCAUCUCUAGUUCGCCAAAGAUGCAUAUAUGUGAUGCCAACAUGUUCAAUAUAGAGGGAUAUCUAUGUGGUUGUUUAGAAGCGAAAAUGGUCCAUCCGUGUUUUCAUCUUCUAACCCAGCUGAGGAAGUAACUAAUGGAAUUGAUGCAUUUGCUCUUACUGCCAUUAUCACUGUGAUGCCUCUUCUCCUCCUCCAGUGUGUCACUGUAAGCGUAUGCCGCAGUUUUGUUCAUGUGUUUGUCGACGAAAUUGCGUCUGCCAUGGGGAUAGUAUCAAAUUUCUCCAAUGACGUACAAAUGAGUCUGCCUAGAUAAAUUUCUGAGGUUUGAUUACCCGUGACGUGAGCAUGAUUUACAAAUAUCGGAUUUCCUUGAAGUGUAUGCCAGUAUGCACUGUUACUCUAUGAAUACCUUAUUACUAUUUGGGAAGUAUUUAGUUUUGAUUCUGUCUAAAAGUAUCAACUAUCUAGUACCCAUUUAAUUUAUAUGACCGUUUGGAUCCGCUUCCCAUUUU